This is a long non-coding RNA of Spodoptera frugiperda (fall armyworm), 922 nucleotides long. RefSeq lists it as uncharacterized. The record is from RefSeq and is a predicted model, not a curated record. The transcript is spliced from 2 exons. Lineage: Eukaryota; Metazoa; Arthropoda; Insecta; Lepidoptera; Noctuidae.
CAUCAAUCCCUAUACUUAUUAACUCUUUGAUCAAUCGUAAUCUUUCUGUCAUGAUAAUGUCUGAAUGGAUUUAAUUUUCUUAUUUUACAAAAGUUUAAUUAAUCGUUUUAAUUUAAACUAGUCCAACUAUAAUUAUAUUAAAUCAUCAUAGCUAGAUUAAGUUUUAUAGGUACGGACUUUAAAUAAGAGUAUUAUAUCUACGUAGAAUAAAUUUCAUCGGUUUACAAUAAAAUUAUAAGACAGCCAGCAAGGGUUGCCAUACGCAAAAAAGUAAAUUAUACUGCUGAGCAGUAAUAUUUACUGAGAAAAAAUUUCAGUAAAAUGUGUGAGCGAAAUAGUGAACAGAAACCGUUCCGCUGCGACGAUGUUAGGGGGGAAAAGUUCUUUACACAGACCGACGAAGUGGGGGGUGGGAACACGUGGUUCGAUAUAUGUUGCUUCCCAUAUGUUUUGGGGUCGAAAUUUUGGGAGUGUUGCGUGCAAAUGUGUGAGGGGGGCAACCAACUGAUGGUCUACAUGAUGCUCCUACAAUACUGUAUAUGUAAGAUCACACGAGCAGUAUCGCCGAGCCCCAUCUUCUACCCAUACUACUUCUACAUGGUCGUACAAGUUUGUAUGAUUUCUGCCAUAUUCCUAACUAUAUGGUUGCUUUGGGGCCGGUCGGUGAUAAUCCCCUUCUUCAAAGCAUUUUAUUACGCAAUGAUUCAAGAUUAUGAUGAUCUCAUAGUACCAAAGAGGAAAAAAUCGAAACCGAAUAUAUCACGUUUAACUUUUAAAAAGUAUUGUUUUAAAAAAGGGGACAUUUUCGACACGCAAGUGGAUAGAAGCAUGUCGCCCAUAGCUGUCCGUCCUACGACUAUUGUCACCUUCGUAUCUCAACUUUUAAUCAAUGAAUUUAUUUAGAAAUACACGCUAGCAACAA